AGACUGCACAGCUUCCAAAGAGCAUUUACAUUCAUUAUCUUAUUCAAUUUCUCACUAACUCAUUGACAUGAUUAUUCUUACCUUAAGAGUUAGAAGACUGAAGUUCAGGGUCAAGAAGUACAUUGCACAAGGACACACAGCCAGUAAGUGGCAUAGCUGGGAUCACUCAACCAAAGAGGUCUUACCACCCCAGCAACCACAAGUCUGUCCUCUAUGUCUGUGAGUCGUUUCUGUUCCAUAGGAUGGAACUGCUGCCUCUGCAGCAACCAAAGCUGCUGCCGUCAGAUUCUUAACCCAUGGGGCCACCCGGGGAACUCUGAACUAGGAGUUUAUAACUGUCUGUCUCAUCCACACUGAGCCUCCAGCCAUCCAUCAGUGAUCAUCAGAAGUCCUCCUGCCCAUUUAUGGCUCCAGAGGCUCCAGGGAGGCUGAUCCAGUUGUGAGUCCCUGUUUUCCGUCUCUCCAGUUUCAAGGGUGGAGUUUGCCCUGCGAACUCAAUUCUGAGAUAGAUAAAAUCUGCAGUUUGUUCAGGUUGGCUUUCCUGUGAGGAUAGAGGCCUUCUGAAAUCUUCACUUGUUGGAAUUGGAACUGAAAGUGUGUGUGUAUAAUUUUUAAAAGUCUAUAUAAAAUUUUUUUUCUUUUUUUCUUUUUAAGGCCACACUGGCGACAUAUGGAGGUUCCCAGGUGACAGGUCAAAUUGGAGCUGCAGCCUAUACCACAGCCACAGCAACGCAGGAUCCGAGCCUCGUCUGUGACCUACACCACAGCUCAUGGCAAGACUGGACACUUAAACCACUGAGUGAGGCCAGGGAUUGAACGUGCAUCCUCAUGGAUACUAGUCAGGUUCCUUACUCUGAGCCACACCAGGAACUCCUCUCCUACUUUUCCUGAAUAAAGCCACUUGAGACCCAUUAGUGAUGCCCAGUUAGUGAUGCUGGGGGAAGAAAGUUGCUGGGAGAGCUCUGGGCCCUGGGCCUUGCUACCACCAGCCUUGAGCAAGGCCAGCAAAAGUCAGAGCAGUGUCCUGAGCAGCAUCCUGUUUGCUGCCGCCUGUCCUUGCGUGUAUUCUUUGUGCUUCUUUGAUAGCACAUCCUGUGAGAUAAACAUUAUUAUCUCCACUUUAAAAUGAGGUGGAAGAGUGGAGGGGGUAUUCCUUUGCUCCAUCUCUAGGCAGCUGGAAAGGUGUGGGGCUGGGAUUCAAACCUGUGUCCUGCUCUUAAAGUUAUUUAAGGAGUUCCCGUCAUGGCGCAGUGGUUAACGAAUCCGACUAGGAACCAUGAGGUUGCAGGUUCUGACCCUGCCCUUGCUCAGUGGGUUAAGGAUCCGGCGUUGCCAUGAGCUGUGGUGUAGGUUGCAGACGCGGCUCAGAUCCCGUGUUGCUGUGGCUCUGGCGUAGGCCGGUGGUUAUGGCUCCGAUUCGACUCCUAGCCUGGGAACCUCCAUAUGCCGCAGGAGCGGCCCAAGAAAUAGCUAAAAAGACCAAAAAAAAAAAGUUAUUUAAGUCUGCGCUCUCUUCCGGUUCCCCCAUCAGGUCCUGGGCACAGCCAGUGCGAGACAGCCAUGCUGCCAGCAUCUGCCCCCAGACGUACAGGCAAAUGCUGUGGGGGAUGUCGUGGCAGGCCUGUUGGAAAUUUGGCUUGGAGCCGCCAUUGUCUCAGCAUUUUGUCAUCUGGCCCUGGGCAGGGGGCUCGGGGUGGAGGCCACUUUUCAUGGGAACUCAGGCAAGGAAGGAGUGUGAACCAUUCGACUGGGACCCAGGCCAAGAGAACGAGAAGAAAGCUGGGGUCCUGGCCAAGGCUCCAGGCCCACGGGAGCCUCCAGCUGGAUGGGGCCUUGCGGGCCGGGCCAUGUGUGGGCCGGGGAAAGUCGUCGAGUUGCUGGCAACUCUUUGUCUGCAGGGGAGAGAGACAAAGAGCAAACAGUCAGGACAAACCAAUGGACUUAGUGCUGCCGUCCCGGGAAACGGGGGCCUCUGAUUACCCAGGAAGGGGCCAGAUCCAUUAUGAGGAGCAGUGAGGCUUCUUGCAGGAGGAGACCAUAGGGUUGAGCAGAGUUUGGUCAGGGCAAGAAGGGGACCUGGACUUUGUGUCAGGUGGAGCAGCAGGUAAGUAGAGCCUGUGGAUAAGGAAACAUCUGACCCAUUGGAGCAGUUCAGCUCCAAAGAAUUCACCGUGUCCUAAAUAUCAGAUGUGAAACACAGCAUAGCAAGAAAUGAGGCUGGGGUAUGGAAGGGGUCCAGAUGCCAGAUAUUGCAUGGAACACACCUUAAAAAACAAACAAACAAACAAAACAAAAACCUCCCAUUUGUGGCUCAGCAGAUUAAGAACCCAACUGGUAUCCAUGAGGAUGUGGGUUUGAUCCCUGGCCUUGCUCAGCGGUUUAAGGAUGCGGCAGUGUUGCCAUGAGCUGUGGUGUAGGUCGCAGACGCAGCUUGGAUCUGGCAUGGCUGUGGCAUAGGCCAGUGGCUGUGGCUCUGAUUUGACCCCUAGCCUGGGAACUUCCAUAUACCAUGGGGGUGGGCCUAAAAAGAAAAAAAAAAAAAA
Molecule: long non-coding RNA, 2543 nt
Filed under: Sus scrofa (pig)
Lineage: Eukaryota; Metazoa; Chordata; Mammalia; Artiodactyla; Suidae
Description: lncRNA (ENSSSCG00025014458.1)
Source: RNAcentral